RNAcentral lists this ribosomal RNA (253 nucleotides) under uncultured bacterium. RNAcentral describes it as "partial 16S ribosomal RNA". It matches the Rfam family "Bacterial small subunit ribosomal RNA", at positions 524 to 776 of the family's 1533-position model. The record is from RNAcentral.
UACAGAGGUCUCAAGCGUUGUUCGGAUUCAUUGGGCGUAAAGGGUGCGUAGGUGGCGUGGUAAGUCGGGUGUGAAGUUUCGGAGCUUAACUCCGAAACUGCAUUCGAUACUGCUGUGCUUGAGGACUGGAGAGGAGACUGGAAUUUACGGUGUAGCAGUGAAAUGCGUAGAGAUCGUAAGGAAGACCAGUGGCGAAGGCGGGUCUCUGGACAGUUCCUGACACUGAGGCACGAAGGCCAGGGGAGCAAACGGG